CCAUCAUCAUUUAGAGAGAGAAAAUAAGAGAGAGAAAUAUUAAAGAGAAGAGGAGAGACAGAGAAAAAAUCCUAGAGAAACAUGAGAGAGAGAGAGGCAACUUCUCUCUCUCCUUCUUUUCCUUCCAUCUUCUUUUCUUGGCCGAAUAAGGGAGCAAGGGGACUGAUGGCUUAUGGUUAAAAGUCCGGUAGCAAACAGUG
This 200-nucleotide long non-coding RNA is filed under the name Elaeis guineensis (African oil palm). Its description in RNAcentral is "long non-coding RNA (EGUI_LNC037975)". The record is from RNAcentral. Lineage: Eukaryota; Viridiplantae; Streptophyta; Magnoliopsida; Arecales; Arecaceae.